This is a long non-coding RNA of Diprion similis, 1249 nucleotides long. RefSeq lists it as uncharacterized. The record is from RefSeq and is a predicted model, not a curated record. The transcript has 2 exons. NCBI's taxonomy places the organism in Eukaryota, Metazoa, Arthropoda, Insecta, Hymenoptera, Diprionidae.
UGCUACGGGAAUUGUAUCAUACCUAUAUAAAUAUUUAUCUAUCUUCGAGCGGCAUCGCUCAGAAAGAAAGAGUAAAAAAAAAAAAAAUCUGACGUACGAUAAUCGUGACAAGGAAGCAGCAGGGAGGCAAUAUUAGUAAAUUAUAAAAAACGGAAACAAAAGCCAUGGAUUCCAUUUUUGAUGUCAGACUGCCCCCCCCCCCCCCCCCCCCCCCAUAUUACAUCCUCACGCACCCUAUUCAUUCCCUAUUCCUUUCACCUUCCCCUUUGCCCAGCUUGAGGCAAGUGUAUUUGAAUUCCUGCCACCAUAAAAUCGUGCGGAGAUUGAGAAAAUCGUCCCCCACCGUAUACCCUAGAUAUACAGUAGCCGCCAGCCCGUAUAUAGCAGAUAAUGGAUAAACAUUAAUUAUGAUACGUAAACAAAAAUUUUACAAUUUAAUACAGUAAUUCGUAAAUGUAAUAGGGAUCUGUGUGUGUAGGCCGUAGGGCGGUUAACUUGCUAUUUGAAAAAGAAGGAGAGAAAAAAAAAAUUAUAAUCGUAAAUAUUAAACGCUGUAUAAUAUACGUAGAAAAUUAAAUAGUAUAUCAAAAAAAAACCUCAUCAUUCGAACUGACAACCAUCAGCUAUUAUACAUACAUUAUUGCGUUUUUCCAAUGUUAUCAAUGUCGACAUUUUUUUUUUCUACCAUUCUUACUCAAUUCCAAUUUUUUUUCUUCCUCCUUCCCCGCAUUAACGAGUACACUUUAAUUUUUGCUCUGCAUUUUUAUCGCAUACGCUUACAGUCGCAAUAUACUCGUAAUAUACUUAUUAUGCAACAUUAUAGUCACGGAUAUUUGAUUCAAUCUCCGAAUCUUCGAAGGAUUGCGUUGUUUUCAAAUUGAAUAAAACUAUCGAUAUUAUUGUUAUUAUUAUAUUAUUAUUACUACUACUAUAUUAUUAUUAUUGAUAAGUGGUAACCGAAAUGCAACUGGUGUGGACGUCACGAAUAAUGUUGAGUUAUGGAUAAAAAAUAUGUUCCUUGGUUUUUCUAUUAAUUCUGAAAAUCUGCGAAUAGAAAAUAAGUGAAUUUAGAAUAUAAAUUUAGCCCGUUGUAAUAAUAUUUUUUCAUCCGUCCACGCGACUCGCGAUGCGGUUACCGCUUUAUUAAGCCGACCAAAGCUACGAAAUGAGAGAUCUUGGGGGGCACAAGGAGCUGCCGGUGAUAUGACCAGAACAAUCAGCAAAAGCGUGACAGUUUCGCAAUGAAAAG